Long non-coding RNA from Capsicum annuum, 1178 nucleotides. RefSeq lists it as uncharacterized. NCBI's taxonomy places the organism in Eukaryota, Viridiplantae, Streptophyta, Magnoliopsida, Solanales, Solanaceae. The record is from RefSeq and is a predicted model, not a curated record. The transcript has 4 exons.
GACAUCUAUAAAUAACGUAGAACAACUGCAUGAUUGUGGUAAGUUAAUUUCGUCUGUUUACCAAAAAAAAAAAAAGUCAAUAUCAUCUAUCUCAUCAUGGAAGAGUUCUAUGGUGCAUCUUCUUUUAGAGUCUAUACUAAGGCUGAUACCGGUUUCUCUCUCACUGUCCGUAAUGGAGAAGUAGUUCUUGCUGAUUAUGAUCCAGCUGAUCCAUUUCAAGUGGGUUCUCUUUUCUUGAGUUAUUAAUGGUCAAAAAUAGGUCGAUUUUUUGAGUUUCAUAGCAGGGAUGGCAAAUGGACAAACUCUAUGGUUAUUCGUACAUUUUAUCUAUGUUAAAUGAGUUGGAUUGGAUAUCCAACUCAUUUAAUAGUGGAUCGAAUAUGGAUCAACUCAUAUUAUCCAUUCUAAAUAUGGAUAACCCAUGGAUAUCGAGUUGCUGCCAUAUGACCAAGAGUUCACGGGUUCAAGCUUUGAAAACAGCCUCUUGCAGAAAUGAAAGCACUGGUAUAGAGAUGCGAGGUAAGGUGAGGAUGUGAGGGAUCGAGAUGGUUAUCCAAGCUUUACUCUGGUUAAUAAAGGUGCAGGACUGGCUCUGAAGCACGCUGAUAGCCCCCGUGAAAAUGUGCAGCUCGCGGAAUACGACCCUAGCGAGGUUGAUGUAUCAGUCUUGUGGACAGAGGGCGACGACCGUGGUGAGGGUUUUCGAGCAGUUAGGAUGGUCACUGACAUUUCCCUCAAUCUAGAUGCAUGGGGUGCUGAUAAAGAGACUGGAGAAGGGAUCGUUGACGGGAACAAUGUUGCUGUUUGCGAAUGGGCCGAGGGAGAAAACCUGAACCAACUCUGGUUUAUCGAACCCUACUGAUAUCUUGGCUUGAGAAUCAUGGUUGGAUGAGUUCAAUAAAUGGAGUUGAUGCUUGAUUUUUUUUUCUUCCUUUUCAUGCGGCUUGUUAUGCAUGCUGUACUGUAUUCUAUCUCACUCCAAAAAAGUAAAAGUAGAAUGAAAAUAUGGGGGGAAAUGCUAUGUAUACUGUAGAGCAUGUGUAACUUGUACUAUUUUUUUGGCUCUGUUAUAGAAAAUAAAAGUGUCUAGAUGAGAUGUAACAAGGUCAAACACAAAUAAUGUCAACUCAACAUUGAAUGCUUCAAUUAAUUGAGAAAAGUUUCAUUUUGCCUUUGUA